This 503-nucleotide ribosomal RNA is filed under the name uncultured bacterium. Its description in RNAcentral is "partial 16S ribosomal RNA". It matches the Rfam family "Bacterial small subunit ribosomal RNA", at positions 29 to 507 of the family's 1533-position model. The record is from RNAcentral.
AACGAACGCUGGCGGCGUGCCUAACACAUGCAAGUCGAACGAGAAAGGGGCUUCGGCUCCGAGUAAAGUGGCGCACGGGUGAGUAACACGUGGGUAACCUGCCUCUAAGAUUGGGAUAACUCGUCGAAAGAUGAGCUAAUACCGAAUAAGACCACAGUUCCCGCGGGAACAGGGGUCAAAGGUAGCCUCUGCUUGCAAGCUAUCACUUAGAGAUGGGCCUGCUCACCAUUAGCUAGUUGGUAGGGUAACGGCCUACCAAGGCAAAGAUGGUUAGCUGGUCGGAGAGGAUGAUCAGCCACACUGGAACGGAGACACGGUCCAGACUCCUACGGGAGGCAGCAGUGGGGAAUAUUGCGCAAGGGGCGAAAGCUUGACGCAGCAACGCCGCGUGAGUGAUGAAGGCCUUCGGGUCGUAAAGCUCUGUCGGGAGGAACGAAUGCUCCUGAGGUUAACAGCCUCGGGAGGUGACGGUACCUUCAAAGGAAGCACCGGCUAACUCUGUG